GAUGAAGAACGUAGCGAAAUGCGAUAAGUAAUGUGAAUUGCAGAAUUCAGUGAAUCAUCGAAUCUUUGAACGCACAUUGCGCCCGCCAGUAUUCUGGCGGGCAUGCCUGUUCGAGCGUCAUUUCAACCAUCAAGCCCCCGGCUUGUGUUGGGGACCUGCGGCUGCCGCAGGCCCUGAAAACCAGUGGCGGGCUCGCUGUCACACCGAGCGUAGUAGAUUUUCAUCUCGCUCAGGGCGUGCUGCGGGUUCCGGCCGUAAAAAGCCUUAUUUACCCAAGGUUGACCUCGGAUCAGGUAGGAAGACCCGCUGAACUUAAGCAUAUCAAUAAGCGGAGA
Molecule: unclassified non-coding RNA, 335 nt
Filed under: soil metagenome
Description: partial contains 5.8S ribosomal RNA, internal transcribed spacer 2, and large subunit ribosomal RNA
Rfam family: 5.8S ribosomal RNA (bases 1-120)
Source: RNAcentral